Molecule: small nuclear RNA, 110 nt
Organism: Cercocebus atys (sooty mangabey)
Lineage: Eukaryota; Metazoa; Chordata; Mammalia; Primates; Cercopithecidae
Source: Ensembl
AACAUAUUUUUCUUGGGAUUACGCUACUGUCCAAUGAAAUCAUAGUGAGAGUAACACUGCUAAUGACAUUAACUAGAGCUUUGCUUUACUUUGGUGCAAUUCUUGAAAAA